CAGCUGCGUGAAUUAAUGUGAAUUGCAGGACACAUUGAACAUCGAAAUCUUGAACGCAUAUUGCGGCCUCGGGCAUUCCCGAGGCCACGCCUGUCUCAGGGUCGGUGGAACAUAAACCGUCGCGUUCGCUCUUCUCGAGCGCGCCUCGGGUCACGCACGCGGACACACGCCUCCUUCCUCCUCACCGAGGUCGUUGUCGUUGUUGUCGCGUCCGUGGCCUCAAGUUCAGACUCGGCUUCGCCCCUGUCAGUUCCGUCUGCGGCGGGAUGCAAAAAAACGAGUCGUGUCGACGACCGUUACCUUGCCCUCCUCCCUCUGCUCGGCGGUGGCCUGCUUCUUUGGUUCGCGUCGAUCGACGCGGCAGAGAGAAAGUCAUCCCAUAGAGGUAAGGAGGCUGGUGUCGUUUGUCGUCGACCGCCUCGCCGGCGUGGACGUGGAGCGAAGCUGUUAAAAAGAAAGAAAGAGAGAGAGAAAGAAAGAAGACUGAUUAUUAAUUUAAUCUCUCCUCGAUCGAUC
This 516-nucleotide ribosomal RNA is filed under the name Bathykurila guaymasensis. Its description in RNAcentral is "eukaryotic LSU rRNA". The stretch from base 1 to 104 matches the Rfam family "5.8S ribosomal RNA", at positions 50 to 154 of the family's 154-position model. The record is from RNAcentral. Lineage: Eukaryota; Metazoa; Annelida; Polychaeta; Phyllodocida; Polynoidae.